Molecule: long non-coding RNA, 604 nt
Organism: Carassius auratus (goldfish)
Lineage: Eukaryota; Metazoa; Chordata; Actinopteri; Cypriniformes; Cyprinidae
Exons: 4
Source: RefSeq, a predicted model, not a curated record
CGGGUGUAUUUCGCGCCAGAGUGAACACGUGCCGUUGGGUCUCAGAAGAUGGAAACACUCACGAAAAACAAAACAAAAAUGACUGUUUUGUACAAGAAACAUCAUAAAGUGAGGCUAAAUUGUGACCCCACAGAUGAAGUUCUUUGAAAUGCAGUCAUAAAAGACUUCACACAGUGAACAAGGAAACACUCUGUACAUUUGGCACAAACUGCAGGAAACGUGGACGGGGGACAUAAAAAUGUGCCGAUCUAAGAGCAUGAUUUCAACACAGGGGUUUGUGAAGCUGGUUGAUCCAGUUUUGACUGGCAGGAGGUCUUGGCUGUCACUUAUCAGUGCUCAGAACAAAAGAUUUUGGAUAUGGUUUUGUUCAGCAUCACUCAGAAUUUCAUCUCAACAAUUUCUCAUACUGCUCUCAUAUUUGGCAAGAAGAAUCUGUGAACUCACUUCAUUCAACUCAUCUCCGUCUACUAUACUUAGCUAUCACGAACGAUGACAACCAUAACACUUAAAGUUGUCAGCUGGCUCUUCUUCAAAUGAUCUUUAAACAGCUGCCUUCCUGUCAAUUCCGUGGAACUUCUGUAGGUCAGAGGCAUCAUAUAAAACU